RNAcentral lists this ribosomal RNA (197 nucleotides) under uncultured bacterium. RNAcentral's name for it is "partial 16S ribosomal RNA". It matches the Rfam family "Bacterial small subunit ribosomal RNA", at positions 326 to 539 of the family's 1533-position model. The record is from RNAcentral.
ACGCUCGACACCUACGGGGCAGCAGUCGGGAAUAUUGCGCAAUGGAGGAAACUCUGACGCAGUGACGCCGCGUAUGGGAAGAAGGUUUUCGGAUUGUAAACCAUUUUAGACAAGGAAGAAACAAGACAGUACUUGUAGAAUAAGCUCCGGCUAACUACGUGCCAGCAGCCGCGGUAAUCUGAGCGGGCUGGCAAGGC